This 510-nucleotide ribosomal RNA is filed under the name uncultured bacterium. Its description in RNAcentral is "partial 16S ribosomal RNA". It matches the Rfam family "Bacterial small subunit ribosomal RNA", at positions 28 to 507 of the family's 1533-position model. The record is from RNAcentral.
GACGAACGCUGGCGGCGUGCUUAACACAUGCAAGUCGAACGAAGAGCGACGGAAGCUUGCUUCUAUCAAUCUUAGUGGCGAACGGGUGAGUAACGCGUAAUCAACCUGCCCUUCAGAGGGGGACAACAGUUGGAAACGACUGCUAAUACCGCAUACGAUCUAAUCUCGGCAUCGAGGAUGGAUGAAAGGUGGCCUCUACAUGUAAGCUAUCACUGAAGGAGGGGAUUGCGUCUGAUUAGCUAGUUGGAGGGGUAACGGCCCACCAAGGCGAUGAUCAGUAGCCGGUCUGAGAGGAUGAACGGCCACAUUGGGACUGAGACACGGCCCAGACUCCUACGGGAGGCAGCAGUGGGGAAUCUUCCGCAAUGGACGAAAGUCUGACGGAGCAACGCCGCGUGAGUGAUGACGGCCUUCGGGUUGUAAAGCUCGGUUAAUCGGGACGAAAGGCCUUCUUGCGAAUAGUGAGAAGGAUUGACGGUACCGGAAUAGAAAGCCACGGCUAACUACGAG